This 850-nucleotide ribosomal RNA is filed under the name uncultured organism. Its description in RNAcentral is "bacterial SSU rRNA". It matches the Rfam family "Bacterial small subunit ribosomal RNA", at positions 92 to 964 of the family's 1533-position model. The record is from RNAcentral.
UCAGCGGCAGACGGGUGAGUAACACGUAGGUAUCUACCCCAGAGACGGGGAUAACGGGUGGAAACAUCCGCUAAUACCGGAUAGACUUGUUCGGUCAAAGGGACAAGGAAAGGCUCCGGCGCUCUGGGAGGAGCCUGCGGCCCAUCAGCUAGUUGGCGGGGUAACGGCCCACCAAGGCAAAGACGGGUAGGGGGUGUGAGAGCAUGGCCCCCCACAAUGGGACUGGAACACGGCCCAUACUCCUACGGGAGGCAGCAGCAGGGAAUAUUGCACAAUGGACGGAAGUCUGAUGCAGCGACGCCGCGUGGAUGAAGAAGGCCCUCGGGUUGUAAAAUCCUUUACAGGGGGAAGAGGAAGGACGGUACCCCUGGAACAAGUGUCGGCUAACUACGUGCCAGCAGCCGCGGUAAGACGUAGGACACAAGCGUUAUCCGGAUUUACUGGGCGUAAAGCGUCUGCAGGCGGACAGGUAAGUUGGGCGUGAAAGCUCCGGGCCCAACCCGGAGAGGUCGUUCAAUACUGCGUGUCUAGAGGGUGUCAGAGGGGAGUGGAAUUUCCGGAGUAGCGGUAAAAUGCGCAGAGAUCGGGAAAGAACACCAAUGGCGAAGGCAGCUCCCUGGGGCAACCCUGACGCUAAGAGACGAAAGCUAGGGGAGCGAACAGGAUUUAGAGACCCUGGUAGUCCUAGCCCUAAACGAUGGAUGCUGGAUGUGGGACCAUAGCGCUCCGUGUCGAAGCGAACGCGUUAAGCAUCCCGCGUGGGGACUACGGCCGCAAGGUUCUAACUCAAACGAAUGGACGGGACCCAGCACAAGCAGCGGAGCGUGUGGUUUAAUUCGAUGCUACACGA